Molecule: transfer RNA, 72 nt
Filed under: Marmota monax (woodchuck)
Lineage: Eukaryota; Metazoa; Chordata; Mammalia; Rodentia; Sciuridae
Description: tRNA.Ala
Source: RNAcentral
UAGGGUGUAGCUCAUUGGUAGAUCACUUGCUUAGCAUGUGCAAGGCCCUGGGUUUGAUCCCCAGCACCACAG